AGGGAAACUUCUGAUAAUACUGGAUAAGUUAGUAUAUCGCAUGAUAUGCAAAUGAAAGCUACGGCACUAAAGGAGAGCUUUGCGUCCUAUUAGCUAGUUGGUAAGGUAAGAGCUUACCAAGGCGAUGAUAGGUAGCCGGCCUGAGAGGGUGGACGGCCACAAGGGGACUGAGAUACGGCCCUUACUCCUACGGGAGGCAGCAGUGGGGAAUAUUGGACAAUGGAGGAAACUCUGAUCCAGCAAUUCUGUGUGUGUGAAGAAGGUUUUAGGACUGUAAAACACUUUUAGUAGGGAAGAAAAAAAUGACGGUACCUACAGAAGAAGCAACGGCUAAAUACGUGCCAGCAGCCGCGGUAAU
This 358-nucleotide ribosomal RNA is filed under the name uncultured Sneathia sp. RNAcentral's name for it is "bacterial SSU rRNA". It matches the Rfam family "Bacterial small subunit ribosomal RNA", at positions 150 to 524 of the family's 1533-position model. The record is from RNAcentral. Lineage: Bacteria; Fusobacteriati; Fusobacteriota; Fusobacteriia; Fusobacteriales; Leptotrichiaceae.